Molecule: transfer RNA, 77 nt
Filed under: Holophagales bacterium
Lineage: Bacteria; Pseudomonadati; Acidobacteriota; Holophagae; Holophagales
Description: tRNA-His
Rfam family: tRNA
About the family: Transfer RNA (tRNA) molecules are approximately 80 nucleotides in length. Their secondary structure includes four short double-helical elements and three loops (D, anti-codon, and T loops). Further hydrogen bonds mediate the characteristic L-shaped molecular structure. tRNAs have two regions of fundamental functional importance: the anti-codon, which is responsible for specific mRNA codon recognition, and the 3' end, to which the tRNAs corresponding amino acid is attached (by aminoacyl-tRNA synthetases). tRNAs cope with the degeneracy of the genetic code in two manners: having more than one tRNA (with a specific anti-codon) for a particular amino acid; and 'wobble' base-pairing, i.e. permitting non-standard base-pairing at the 3rd anti-codon position.
Source: RNAcentral
GCGGCUGUAGUUCAGCUGGUUAGAGCACAGGAUUGUGAUUCCUGGUGUCGGGGGUUCGAGUCCCCUCAGCCGCCCCA